CCUAGGGGAGGCAGCAGUGGGGAAUCUUCCACAAUGGACGAAAGUCUGAUGGAGCAACGCCGCGUGAGUGAAGAAGGGUUUCGGCUCGUAAAGCUCUGUUGUCGGGGACGAAUGUGCAGUAUUUGAAUAAAGUACUGUAAUGACGGUACCUGACGAGGAAGCCCGGCUAACUACGUGCCAGCAGCCGCGGUAAU
This 194-nucleotide ribosomal RNA is filed under the name uncultured Selenomonas sp. RNAcentral describes it as "partial 16S ribosomal RNA". It matches the Rfam family "Bacterial small subunit ribosomal RNA", at positions 338 to 524 of the family's 1533-position model. Lineage: Bacteria; Bacillati; Bacillota; Negativicutes; Selenomonadales; Selenomonadaceae. The record is from RNAcentral.